AUUACCGAAGCUGUGGAUUGUCCUUUGGACAAUGGUAGGAGAGCGUUCUAAGGGCGUUGAAGCAUGAUCGUAAGGACAUGUGGAGCGCUUAGAAGUGAGAAUGCCGGUGUGAGUAGCGAAAGACGGGUGAGAAUCCCGUCCACCGAUUGACUAAGGUUUCCAGAGGAAGGCUCGUCCGCUCUGGGUUAGUCGGGUCCUAAGCUGAGGCCGACAGGCGUAGGCGAUGGAUAACAGGUUGAUAUUCCUGUACCACCUAUAAUCGUUUUAAUCGAUGGGGGGACGCAGUAGGAUAGGCGAAGCGUGCGAUUGGAUUGCACGUCUAAGCAGUAAGGCUGAGUAUUAGGCAAAUCCGGUACUCGUUAAGGCUGAGCUGUGAUGGGGAGAAGACAUUGAGUCUUCGAGUCGUUGAUUUCACACUGCCGAGAAAAGCCUCUAGAUAGAAAAUAGGUGCCCGUACCGCAAACCGACACAGGUAGUCAAGAUGAGAAUUCUAAGGUGAGCGAGCGAACUCUCGUUAAGGAACUCGGCAAAAUGACCCCGUAACUUCGGGAGAAGGGGUGCUCUUUAGGGUUAACGCCCAGAAGAGCCGCAGUGAAUAGGCCCAAGCGACUGUUUAUCAAAAAC
RNAcentral lists this ribosomal RNA (624 nucleotides) under Staphylococcus aureus. RNAcentral describes it as "partial 23S ribosomal RNA". It matches the Rfam family "Bacterial large subunit ribosomal RNA", at positions 1190 to 1814 of the family's 2925-position model. The record is from RNAcentral. Lineage: Bacteria; Bacillati; Bacillota; Bacilli; Caryophanales; Staphylococcaceae.